This 431-nucleotide small RNA is filed under the name Pongo abelii (Sumatran orangutan). Its description in RNAcentral is "processed transcript". The record is from RNAcentral. Lineage: Eukaryota; Metazoa; Chordata; Mammalia; Primates; Hominidae.
CAGAAGGGACUGCCUUCCCCUCAGUGCUCGCUCCUCCUUAGUGAUCACUGAGUCCCCUUGAGCAGUGAGUCUCAUUCUUCUCAGUAAAUCUUCUCGCUGUGUAGUGAGAAAACUGAGGGCUGGAGAGGCUCUGCGACCUGCCUAGGACCACAGAACUCGAGAAUUACGUGUACCAGAGACUGUUUGAAUGCUAUGCGUUUAACGGGACACAGCGCCUCCUGGACAGACUCAUCUACAACCAGGAGGAGUACAUCCGCUUCGACAGCGACCUUGGGGAGUACAGGACGGUGACGGAGCUGGGACGGCGUACUGCUGAGUACUGGAACAGCCAGAAGGACAUCCUGGAGCUGGAGCGGGCCGAGGUGGACAGGGUGUGCAGACACAACUAUGAGCUGGAGGAGCCACUCAUCCGGAAGCGCCAAGUCCAGCCU